GACGAACGCUGGCGGCGUGCUUAACACAUGCAAGUCGAACGGGUCUGCCCUGUUUUUUGCGGGGUGGGUCAGUGGCGAACGGGUGAGUAACACGUGAGUAACCUGCCCCUCACUUCUGGAUAACCGCUUGAAAGGGUGGCUAAUACGGGGUGUUCUUGCUGUGCCGCAUGGUGUGGCUGGGAAAGAUUCACUUUUGUGGUGUUUUGGCGGGGGAUGGGCUCGCGGCCUAUCAGCUUGUUGGUGGGGUGAUGGCCUGCCAAGGCUUUGACGGGUAGCCGGCCUGAGAGGGUGGGCGGGCACACGGGGACUGAGAUACGGCCCAGACUCCUGCGGGAGGCAGCAGUGGGGGGUAUUGCACAAUGGGCGGAAGCCUGAUGCAGCGACGUCGCGUGAGGGAUGGAGGCCUUCGGGUUGUGAACCUCUUUCGCCGGUGAAGAAGGUCCUGCUCUUUGUGGUGGGGUUGACGGUAGCCGGGUUAUGAAGCGCCGGCUAACUACGUG
This 500-nucleotide ribosomal RNA is filed under the name uncultured bacterium. Its description in RNAcentral is "partial 16S ribosomal RNA". It matches the Rfam family "Bacterial small subunit ribosomal RNA", at positions 28 to 507 of the family's 1533-position model. The record is from RNAcentral.